Molecule: transfer RNA, 84 nt
Filed under: Parafilimonas terrae
Lineage: Bacteria; Pseudomonadati; Bacteroidota; Chitinophagia; Chitinophagales; Chitinophagaceae
Rfam family: tRNA
About the family: Transfer RNA (tRNA) molecules are approximately 80 nucleotides in length.
Source: Rfam by way of RNAcentral
GCCCAGGUGGUGAAAUUGGUAGACACGCUACUUUGAGGUGGUAGUGCCUUAACGGGCUUGCUGGUUCGAAUCCAGUCUUGGGCA